GACGAACCGUGCGAACGUUGUUCGGAAUCACUGGGCUUAAAGGGCGCGUAGGCGGCCGGCAAAGUCAGGGGUGAAAUCCCGCAGCUUAACUGCGGAAGUGCCUUUGAUACUGGUCGGCUCGAGGGAGACAGGGGUCUGUGGAACGGGUGGUGGAGCGGUGAAAUGCGUUGAUAUCACUCGGAACGCCGGUGGCGAAAGCGACGGACUGGAUCUCUACUGACGCUGAGGCGCGAAAGCCAGGGGAGCAAACGGGAUUAGAUACCCCGGUAGUCCUGGCCCUAAACGAUGGGUACUAGAUUGUGGACUUGUCAUGGGUUCCCAGUCGAAGCAAAAGUUUUAAGUACCCCGCCUGGGGAGUAUGGUCGCAAGGCUGAA
Molecule: ribosomal RNA, 375 nt
Filed under: uncultured bacterium
Lineage: Bacteria
Description: bacterial SSU rRNA
Rfam family: Bacterial small subunit ribosomal RNA
Source: RNAcentral